UACGGAGGGGGCAAGCGUUAUCCGGAUUCACUGGGCUUAAAGGGUGCGUAGGCGGGCAGGUAAGUCCGUGGUGAAAUCUCUGAGCUUAACUCAGAAACUGCCAUGGAUACUAUUUGUCUUGAAUAUUGUGGAGGUAAGCGGAAUAUGUCAUGUAGCGGUGAAAUGCUUAGAUAUGACAUAGAACACCAAUUGCGAAGGCAGCUUACUACACAGUUAUUGACGCUGAGGCACGAAAGCGUGGGGAUCAAACAGG
Molecule: ribosomal RNA, 253 nt
Filed under: uncultured bacterium
Lineage: Bacteria
Description: partial 16S ribosomal RNA
Rfam family: Bacterial small subunit ribosomal RNA
Source: RNAcentral